GUGGGGAAUAUUGGACAAUGGGGGGAAACCUGAUCCAGCCAUGCCGCGUGUGUGAAGAAGGCCUUUUGGUUGUAAAGCACUUUAAGCGAGGAGGAGGCUACCGAGAUUAAUACUCUUGGAUAGUGGACGUUACUCGCAGAAUAAGCACCGGCUAACUCUGUGCCAGCAGCCGCGGUAAUACAGAGGGUGCAAGCGUUAAUCGGAUUUACUGGGCGUAAAGCGCGCGUAGGUGGCCAAUUAAGUCAAAUGUGAAAUCCCCGAGCUUAACUUGGGAAUUGCAUUCGAUACUGGUUGGCUAGAGUAUGGGAGAGGAUGGUAGAAUUCCAGGUGUAGCGGUGAAAUGCGUAGAGAUCUGGAGGAAUACCGAUGGCGAAGGCAGCCAUCUGGCCUAAUACUGACACUGAGGUGCGAAAGCAUGGGGAGCAAACAGGAUUAGAUACCCGAGUAGUCC
RNAcentral lists this ribosomal RNA (451 nucleotides) under uncultured bacterium. RNAcentral describes it as "partial 16S ribosomal RNA". It matches the Rfam family "Bacterial small subunit ribosomal RNA", at positions 354 to 796 of the family's 1533-position model. The record is from RNAcentral.